Neoarius graeffei (lesser salmon catfish) is the source of this 314-nucleotide long non-coding RNA. RefSeq lists it as uncharacterized. The transcript has 3 exons. NCBI's taxonomy places the organism in Eukaryota, Metazoa, Chordata, Actinopteri, Siluriformes, Ariidae. The record is from RefSeq and is a predicted model, not a curated record.
UGGACAGCAAGACCUAAGCAAGUUCGGAUUUAAUAUCGCAAGAAAAAACAUUUCAGGAGGAGUGGAACCCAUGCUGUUGCAUGCUGAGAUGCUUUUCUGCUCACCACGGUUGUAGAGUUGCUAUGAGAGACUGUGUGAGGGGAAAACCCCAGGACAUCAGCUGAAAGACUCAAACCAACACCCAUGCCACAGUGAAAGAAAGUCACACUUUGAGAUCACAAUUUUUCCCAUUCUGAUGUUUGAACAUUGUGAAUGUUAACUGAAGCUCUUGAUUUGUAUCUCCAUGAUUUUAUGCCUUGUGCUGCUGUCAAGGG